UCCAGACUCCUACGGGAGGCAGCAGUGAGGAAUAUUGGUCAAUGGCCGAGAGGCUGGACCAGCCAAGUCGCGUGAGGGAAGAAUGUCCUAUGGAUUGUAAACCUCUUUUGUCAGGGAGCAAAGUCACCCACGUGUGGGUGUUGGAGAGUACCUGAAGAAAAAGCAUCGGCUAACUCCGUGCCAGCAGCCGCGGUAAUACGGAGGAUGCGGGCGUUAUCCGGAUUUAUUGGGUUUAAAGGGUGCGUAGGCGGGCUGUUAAGCCAGGGGUAAAAGCCGGGGGCCCAACCCGGGGGAGCCGUUGAAACUGGCUGUCUUGAGAUGUCGAGAGGUAUGCGGAAUGCGCAGUGUAGCGGUGAAAUGCUUAGAUAUUGCGCAGAACUCCGAUUGCGAAGGCAGCAUACCGGCGGCGAUCUGACGCUGAGGCACGAAAGCGUGAGUAUCGAACAGGAUUAGAUACCCGCGUACU
RNAcentral lists this ribosomal RNA (466 nucleotides) under uncultured bacterium. RNAcentral's name for it is "bacterial SSU rRNA". It matches the Rfam family "Bacterial small subunit ribosomal RNA", at positions 330 to 794 of the family's 1533-position model. The record is from RNAcentral.